RNAcentral lists this transfer RNA (77 nucleotides) under Deltaproteobacteria bacterium. Its description in RNAcentral is "tRNA-Arg". It matches the Rfam family "tRNA". From Rfam's summary of the family: Transfer RNA (tRNA) molecules are approximately 80 nucleotides in length. Their secondary structure includes four short double-helical elements and three loops (D, anti-codon, and T loops). Lineage: Bacteria; Pseudomonadati; Myxococcota; Myxococcia. RNAcentral also lists the same sequence under 1 other name. The record is from RNAcentral.
GUGCCCGUAGCUCAGCUGGAUAGAGCGGCGGCCUUCUAAGCCGAUGGUCCCUGGUUCGAAUCCAGGCGGGCGCGCCA